AGUGAACGCUGGCGGUAGGCCUAACACAUGCAAGUCGAACGGCAGCACAGUAAGAGCUUGCUCUUACGGGUGGCGAGUGGCGGACGGGUGAGGAAUACAUCGGAAUCUACUUUUUCGUGGGGGAUAACGUAGGGAAACUUACGCUAAUACCGCAUACGACCUACGGGUGAAAGCAGGGGAUCUUCGGACCUUGCGCGAUUGAAUGAGCCGAUGUCGGAUUAGCUAGUUGGCGGGGUAAAGGCCCACCAAGGCGACGAUCCGUAGCUGGUCUGAGAGGAUGAUCGGCCACACUGGAGCUGAACCACGGACCAGACUCCUGCGGGAGGCAGCAGUGGGGAAUAUUGGACAAUGGGCGCAAGCCUGAUCCAGCCAGACCGCGUGGGUGAAGAAGGCCUUCGGGUUGUAAAGCCCUUUUGUUGGGAAAGAAAAGCAGCAGGUUAAUACCCCGCUGUUCUGACGGUACCCAAAGAAUAAGCACCGGCUAACUUCGUG
RNAcentral lists this ribosomal RNA (492 nucleotides) under uncultured bacterium. Its description in RNAcentral is "partial 16S ribosomal RNA". It matches the Rfam family "Bacterial small subunit ribosomal RNA", at positions 29 to 507 of the family's 1533-position model. The record is from RNAcentral.